RNAcentral lists this unclassified non-coding RNA (215 nucleotides) under fungal sp. Its description in RNAcentral is "partial internal transcribed spacer region". The stretch from base 1 to 46 matches the Rfam family "Eukaryotic small subunit ribosomal RNA", at positions 1786 to 1831 of the family's 1831-position model. Lineage: Eukaryota; Fungi. The record is from RNAcentral.
AAGUUGUAACAAGGUUUCUGUAGGUGAACCUGCAGAAGGAUUAUUAUUGUAGGGCUCUAGCCCUGUUAAGAUAACACCCUUGCCUUUAUAAGUACUGCUUGUUUCCUUAGCAGGUUUGCCUGCUAAUAGGGACACAACAACACCCUAAAGCACCUGUAACAGCCUAAUAAAAUAAACAAAAGUCAAAACUUUUAACAACAGAUCUCUUAGUUCUA